Molecule: non-coding RNA, 881 nt
Organism: Nicotiana tabacum (common tobacco)
Lineage: Eukaryota; Viridiplantae; Streptophyta; Magnoliopsida; Solanales; Solanaceae
Source: RefSeq, a predicted model, not a curated record
AUACUAUCAGGUCACCUACAAAUAAUUAUUGUUCAUUAUAAGUAAAAUUAGUAAUUUAACAACAAUAUAAAAUAUAUAUACUGACAGUGCAAUGAAUUUUUACACCAUCAAUGUACCUUAACAUAUUUUUACACCAGUUGUUAUUUUGGUUCUUAAUUUCCUUAGGAUAUAUUCUGUUAGUCUGUCAUCUUCCAUUUUGUUGCUUUUGCAUUUUGUCUUGGAUUUUCUCUUUUUAUACCCGACAAAAUUAUGUGAGAUCAAAAUGAUAUGGAUGUUUUUGUGAGAUUUAAUUUUUUACCUUAACGGAUCUGGUUAUAAAGGGGCAUACAACAUUCUAAUAGAAGGUAAUCUUUUGCUUGUUUGAUCUACCACUUUACUAUCCUUACUCAGGUUAUACAGGGGUAGCCAAAAAGUGCAUUGAUACAAGCACAACUAUUCUGGAUGUGCAAGGAGUAUGGAAUGAAGAACUUGAAUAAAUCAGCAAGAAAAUUCAUUGAAUGCCUCAGAACUAUUGAUGAUAACAAUAUUUCUUAGGGACACCAUAAAUCAUGUGUGGAUGAGAACAUGUUGUACGAAUGGAAAUUGAGUGUUAAUUGAAGCUUGGUCCAAUCUGCAGAUAAUGCUGCGUAUGCAGCUCGGAUAUUGCAAGUGGAGCAAGGCUGCACAGUGUGCAUAAGUUUCUCGAGUCUCAUUGCGUUUUAACUCAAAGGAUAACUAUAUCACCUUUCUCCUAUUUUGGUUUGGUUUGUUUAUUGAAGGCUUUGAUUUUCAUGUGCUAUGUGUGCAAUUAUGAGAGCAAAGAGAGUCUAAUAUAUUUAGUUGUAUUAAAGAAAAUUUCACCAUUUGUGAAAAUGUAGUUACGUUAUACCUAUUAGUUACUA